RNAcentral lists this long non-coding RNA (306 nucleotides) under Sus scrofa (pig). RNAcentral describes it as "lncRNA (ENSSSCG00050014891.1)". Lineage: Eukaryota; Metazoa; Chordata; Mammalia; Artiodactyla; Suidae. The record is from RNAcentral.
ACCAGAAAUCCUGAGUGUAGUUUUCUGCCAAAUAGGUGCUAGUUAAAACCAGCUGCCUGAAGCGGAACUUUUGCCUGCUUGAAGCUUUGCCUGUGAGCCAAUCUCAGACUGAGCCCUUUCAAAGGAGAGCCUGCUCUGCAUGUGCUUUUCCAGGAUGGAUGAAGAUUCAGGAUUGUUUCAGGGGAGAAAUCCUGGCUGAAAUUCAGUGGGACACAUCUACACUCUUGCAAUGAAUGUACAAGGUAUUGGGACCCUCCACUGGAAUGAGCUGUGGCAACACCCAGGGCCAGCUGAGCCAUAUUGGAG